RNAcentral lists this ribosomal RNA (2685 nucleotides) under Spirochaetae bacterium HGW-Spirochaetae-5. RNAcentral describes it as "bacterial LSU rRNA". It matches the Rfam family "Bacterial large subunit ribosomal RNA", at positions 1 to 2602 of the family's 2925-position model. The record is from RNAcentral. Lineage: Bacteria; Pseudomonadati; Spirochaetota.
AUAUGGUCAAGCAAAUAAGGGCAUACGGUGGAUGCCUUGGCACUAGAAGGCGAUGAAGGUCGUGGCAAGCUGCGAAAAGCUUCGGGUAGGAGCAAGCAUCCUUUGAUCCGGAGAUUACCGAAUCGGAAAACCGACUAUGGGCGAACCCAUAGUGUACGUCACUGAAUACAUAGGUGGCGUAAGCAAGACCGGGGGAACUGAAACAUCUAAGUACCCCGAGGAAAAGACAUCAAAUGAGAUUCCCUAAGUAGUGGCGAGCGAAAGGGGAAGAGCCUAAACCGGACUUUACGUUACAGGCCAAAACCGCUGUAAGACCGGGGUUGUAGGAUAUAGAUUGGGGGUUUUUUGGGGCCCCCGGGAAGUUACAAAGCUUCAUGUUAGCUGAACCCGCUGAAAAGAGGACCACAGAGCGUGAUAGUCGCGUAAGCAAAAGCAUAGAAGCCUUCCUUUUUAUAUUCCUGAGUAGGGCGGGGCACGUGAAACCCUGUUUGAAUCUGGGAGGACCAUCUUCCAAGGCUAAAUACUAACUAGUGACCGAUAGUGAACAAGUACCGUGAGGGAAAGGUGAAAAGAACCCCGAGAGGGGAGUGAAAUAGAUCCUGAAACCGUAUGCUUACAAGGUGUUAGAGGGCUAUGUUUACAUGCCUGAUAGCGUGCCUUUUGUAGAAUGAGCCGGCGAGUUACUUUAUACAGCAAGGUUAAGCGAUAGUAAUCGCGCAGCCGUAGCGAAAGCGAGUCUUAAAUGGGCGAAUUAGUUGUAUGGAGUAGACCCGAAACCGAGUGAUCUAGUCAUGGCCAGGUUGAAGCGUGGGUAAGACCACGUGGAGGACCGAACCGGUAAAUGUUGAAAAAUUUUCGGAUGAGCUGUGACUAGGGGUGAAAGACUAAACAAACUCGGAAAUAGCUGGUUCUCCUCGAAAUAGCUUUAGGGCUAGCCUCAUAUGUUUUGUUGCGGAGGUAGAGCACUGAUUGGGCUAGGGGGUCAACAAACUUACCAAACCCACUCAAACUUCGAAUGCCGUAACUUUAGAGUAUGGGAGUCAGACUACGGGAGAUAAGUUCCGUGGUCAAAAGGGAAAGAGCCCAGACCAACAGCUAAGGUCCCCAAGUGUAUACUAAGUGAUAAAGGAAGUGAAGUCGCACAGACACCCAGGAGGUUGGCUUAGAAGCAGCAACCCUUCAAAGAGUGCGUAAUAGCUCACUGGUCGAGUGACUUUGCACCGAAAAUAAUUGGGACUAAGUAUACCACCGAAGCUUUGGAUUGUACGUAAGUACAGUGGUAGAGGAGCAUUCUGUACGGGCUGAAGGUCGACCGCGAGGACGGCUGGACUGUACAGAAGAGAGAAUGCCGGCAUGAGUAACGAUAAAAGAAGCGAAAAACUUCUUCGCCGUAAACCUAAGGUUUUCUGGGCAAUGUUAAUCAACUCAGAGUUAGUCGGCCCCUAAGGCGAGGCUUAACAGCGUAGUCGAUGGGAAGCAGGUUCAUAUUCCUGCACCACCUGGUGGAGGUUAUCGUGAUGGAGUGACGCAGAAAGGUAUGGACGCAGAGCGUUGGUUGUCUCUGUUUCUAUUCGUAGGCUUGGGGUCCAGGAAAAUCCAGACCCCUUAUGGCUGAGGAUGUGAGGGAGUGUAGCUUCGGUGAAGCGAAGGUCCAAAUCCUAUACUGCCAGGAAAAACUUCUAAACGCGAAACCGGGUGACCGUACCGCAAACCGACACAGGUAGGUGGGAUGAAAAUUCUAAGGCGCUCGAGAGAACUCUCGUUAAGGAACUCGGCAAAAUCGUCCCGUAACUUCGGGAAAAGGGACGCCUCACUAGUGUGAAACCCCCGCGGGUGGAGCAUGAAGAGGCCGCAGAUAAAUGGCGCAAGCGACUGUUUACCAAAAACACAGGACUCUGCAAACUCGUAAGAGAAAGUAUAGGGUCUGACACCUGCCCGGUGCUGGAAGGUUAAGAGGAAGUGUUAGUUUGUAUUUAUACACGCGAAGCUCUGAAUUGAAGCCCCAGUAAACGGCGGCCGUAACUAUGACGGUCCUAAGGUAGCGAAAUUCCUUGUCGGGUAAGUUCCGACCUGCACGAAUGGUGUAACGACUUGCGCACUGUCUCAACGGGAGACUCGGUGAAAUUGUAUUGUUCGUGAAGAUGCGGACUACCUGCAGAAGGACGGAAAGACCCCGUGCACCUUUACUGUAGCCUGACACUGUUGUUUGGUAUAAUAUGUGUAGGAUAGGUGGGAGACUAUGAAGCUGGGACGCUAGUCUUGGUGGAGUCAUCGUUGAAAUACCACCCUUGUUGUAUUGAACUACUAACCGAUACCCGUUAUCCGGGAUCGGGACACUGUCUGGUGGGCAGUUUGACUGGGGCGGUCGCCUCCUAAAGAGUAACGGAGGCGCCCAAAGGUUCCCUCAGCGCGGACGGAAAUCGCGCGUAGAGUGUAAACGCAAAAGGGAGCUUGACUGCGAGACCAACAAGUCGAGCAGGUACGAAAGUAGGGGUUAGUGAUCCGGUGGUCCCGCAUGGAAGGGCCAUCGCUCAACGGAUAAAAGGUACGCCGGGGAUAACAGGCUGAUAGCGCCCAAGAGUUCAUAUCGACGGCGCUGUUUGGCACCUCGAUGUCGGCUCUUCGCAUCCUGGGGCUGGAGAAGGUCCCAAGGGUUCGGCUGUUCGCCGAUUAAAGCGGAACGCG